UCUGCCCGCUGGCGGCGUGCCUAAUACAUGCAAGUCGAGCGAACGGACGAGAAGCUUGCUUCUCUGAUGUUAGCGGCGGACGGGUGAGUAACACGUGGAUAACCUACCUAUAAGACUGGGAUAACUUCGGGAAACCGGAGCUAAUACCGGAUAAUAUUAUGAACCGCAUGGUUCAAAAGUGAAAGACGGUCUUGCUGUCACUUAUAGAUGGAUCCGCGCUGCAUUAGCUAGUUGGUAAGGUAACGGCUUACCAAGGCAACGAUGCAUAGCCGACCUGAGAGGGUGAUCGGCCACACUGGAACUGAGACACGGUCCAGACUCCUACGGGAGGCAGCAGUAGGGAAUCUUCCGCAAUGGGCGAAAGCCUGACGGAGCAACGCCGCGUGAGUGAUGAAGGUCUUCGGAUCGUAAAACUCUGUUAUUAGGGAAGAACAUAUGUGUAAGUAACUGUGCACAUCUUGACGGUACCUAAUCAGAAAGCCACGGCUAACUACGUG
This 497-nucleotide ribosomal RNA is filed under the name uncultured bacterium. RNAcentral describes it as "partial 16S ribosomal RNA". It matches the Rfam family "Bacterial small subunit ribosomal RNA", at positions 34 to 507 of the family's 1533-position model. The record is from RNAcentral.